GGCGGGCUCUCCUCACACGAGCGCUUCCUCGCCGAGAGGCUGGAGCUGCGGCAACGCAGGCCUGGGCCGCCGUGUCUCCGCCGCCCGCUUCAGUUUUCCUCAGGGCUCUGGGGGUCGCUCGUCCGCCAAUGCGCCUCAGGAAUUUAACAAGAAACUGAAGUUUCAAAGAUUCAAAUAUUUUUUGAAUUGAAGCCAGAAAUGUACUAAGAUUUUGAUUCUUUCAUUUGAUUAAGGUAUGGUCUGAAUAUGCGUUGUUUGGCAGCUCGGGUCAACUAUAAGACUUUGAUUAUCAUCUGUGCGUUAUUCACUUUGGUCACAGUACUUUUGUGGAAUAAGUGUUCCAGCGACAAAGCAAUCCAGUUUCCUCGGCACUUGAGUAGUGGAUUCAGAGUGG
RNAcentral lists this long non-coding RNA (394 nucleotides) under Rattus norvegicus (Norway rat). RNAcentral describes it as "long non-coding RNA NONRATT028665". The record is from RNAcentral. Lineage: Eukaryota; Metazoa; Chordata; Mammalia; Rodentia; Muridae.